GGGGGCGAAACAGGAUCGAUGGCCGCGAAGAAGUGUUGAAUUGUUCCCGGCAUGAUACCGCCGUUAUCGGGUCAAAACCUAAAUGCAAACGAUAACGUUCGCAUGAACGAAGUGCGCCUCGCGGCGUAACCGUUCGGGGUAGGUCCACCUAGCAACAGAACGGCCAUG
Molecule: transfer-messenger RNA, 168 nt
Filed under: Rhodopseudomonas palustris BisB18
Lineage: Bacteria; Pseudomonadati; Pseudomonadota; Alphaproteobacteria; Hyphomicrobiales; Nitrobacteraceae
Description: transfer-messenger RNA Rhodo_palus_BisB18.2
Rfam family: Alphaproteobacteria transfer-messenger RNA
About the family: Bacterial tmRNA, also known as 10Sa RNA or SsrA, is named for its dual tRNA and mRNA-like properties. Its role is to liberate the mRNA from a stalled ribosome.
Source: RNAcentral